Molecule: transfer RNA, 70 nt
Filed under: Cnesterodon decemmaculatus
Lineage: Eukaryota; Metazoa; Chordata; Actinopteri; Cyprinodontiformes; Poeciliidae
Description: tRNA-Ile
Rfam family: tRNA
About the family: Transfer RNA (tRNA) molecules are approximately 80 nucleotides in length. Their secondary structure includes four short double-helical elements and three loops (D, anti-codon, and T loops).
Source: RNAcentral
GGACUCGUGCCUGAGAUAAAGGAUUACUUUGAUAGAGUAAAUAACGUGGGUUAAACCCCCUCCGACUCCU